GAUGAACGCUGGCGGCGUGCCUAACACAUGCAAGUCGAACGGAGUCCAGCCUUUAAGACCUUCGGGUCAAAGAGGGGAAGACUGAGUGGCGGACGGGUGAGUAGCACGUGGGCAACCUGGCUCAUAGAGGGGGAUAACAGAGAGAAAUUUCUGCUAAUACCGCAUAAGCACACACUGCCGCAUGGCAGAGGGUGAGAAGAGAAUCGCUAUGAGAUGGACCCGCGUCUGAUUAGCCAGUUGGCAGGGUAAGAGCCUACCAAAGCGACGAUCAGUAGCCGAUCUGAGAGGAUGAACGGCCACAUUGGGACUGAGACACGGCCCAAACUCCUACGGGAGGCAGCAGUGGGGGAUAUUGCACAAUGGGGGGAACCCUGAUGCAGCGACGCCGCGUGAGUGAAGAAGUAUUUCGGUAUGUAAAGCUCUAUCAGCAGGGAAGAUAAUGACAGUACCGGAAGAAGAAGCCCCGGCUAACUACGUG
This 478-nucleotide ribosomal RNA is filed under the name uncultured bacterium. RNAcentral describes it as "partial 16S ribosomal RNA". It matches the Rfam family "Bacterial small subunit ribosomal RNA", at positions 28 to 507 of the family's 1533-position model. The record is from RNAcentral.